Molecule: ribosomal RNA, 700 nt
Filed under: Caulobacteraceae bacterium BF-GEL-BP8
Lineage: Bacteria; Pseudomonadati; Pseudomonadota; Alphaproteobacteria; Caulobacterales; Caulobacteraceae
Description: bacterial SSU rRNA
Rfam family: Bacterial small subunit ribosomal RNA
Source: RNAcentral
ACCCUUCGGGGUUAGUGGCGGACGGGUGAGUAACACGUGGGAACGUGCCUUUAGGUUCGGAAUAGCUCCUGGAAACGGGUGGUAAUGCCGAAUGUGCCCUUAGGGGGAAAGAUUUAUCGCCUUUAGAGCGGCCCGCGUCUGAUUAGCUAGUUGGUGAGGUAAUGGCUCACCAAGGCUACGAUCAGUAGCUGGUCUGAGAGGAUGACCAGCCACAUUGGGACUGAGACACGGCCCAAACUCCUACGGGAGGCAGCAGUGGGGAAUCUUGCGCAAUGGGCGAAAGCCUGACGCAGCCAUGCCGCGUGAAUGAUGAAGGUCUUAGGAUUGUAAAAUUCUUUCACCGGGGACGAUAAUGACGGUACCCGGAGAAGAAGCCCCGGCUAACUUCGUGCCAGCAGCCGCGGUAAUACGAAGGGGGCUAGCGUUGCUCGGAAUUACUGGGCGUAAAGGGAGCGUAGGCGGACAUUUAAGUCAGAGGUGAAAUCCCGGGGCUCAACCUCGGAACUGCCUUUGAUACUGGAUGUCUUGAGUGUGAGAGAGGUAUGUGGAACUCCGAGUGUAGAGGUGAAAUUCGUAGAUAUUCGGAAGAACACCAGUGGCGAAGGCGACAUACUGGCUCAUUACUGACGCUGAGGCUCGAAAGCGUGGGGAGCAAACAGGAUUAGAUACCCUGGUAGUCCACGCCGUAAACGAUGAUUGC